Molecule: ribosomal RNA, 216 nt
Filed under: Glomeromycotina sp.
Lineage: Eukaryota; Fungi; Glomeromycota
Description: partial small subunit ribosomal RNA
Rfam family: Eukaryotic small subunit ribosomal RNA (bases 40-216)
Source: RNAcentral
GGGUCAUUAGGUUGGUCGUGCCACCGGUACGUACUGGUCUCACUGAUUCCUCCUUCCUGAAGAACCGUGAUGCCAUUAAUUUGGUGUUGCGGGGAAACAGGACUGUUACUUUGAGAAAAUUAGAGUGUUUAAAGCAAGCUAACGCUUGAAUACAUUAGCAUGGAAUAAUGGAAUAGGACGAUCGAUCCUAUUUUGUUGGUUUCUAGGAUUGACGUA